UGAUAUACUGGGAUGAAGCUGUAAAUUCUA
Molecule: non-coding RNA, 30 nt
Filed under: Mus musculus (house mouse)
Lineage: Eukaryota; Metazoa; Chordata; Mammalia; Rodentia; Muridae
Source: RNAcentral